This 658-nucleotide long non-coding RNA is filed under the name Cottoperca gobio. RNAcentral describes it as "lncRNA (ENSCGOG00000017140.1)". The record is from RNAcentral. Lineage: Eukaryota; Metazoa; Chordata; Actinopteri; Perciformes; Bovichtidae.
GGAAUGUGUGCGUGACUGACUGCGAGAUGACGUAAGGCGGAAGUGCUACGACCCUAUAAGGACCAUAAGGACACAAGAAGCUCAAUAAGGACGCGGGUUUUCUUAGCGGCAAUAAGCAGCAGCAAUGGAUCGGGUGAGGUCUGCGUUUAACAGCGUGAUUAAAAGUGAGCGGUACAGCAGGUUCACUCUGCAGCCGGCCGAGGACGGAGAAAGACACGUUGAGGUCAAAUUGUCAGAUGACGCCACGGAGGCCGAGGAUCAGGCAGGUGGAUCUCCAAGCUUCAGGCCAGCACCUCCGAGUCAAGGCCGGACUACUCUCUGCUACCUGGCCCUGGCGACACUGCUCAUAUUUGUCACCGGCUACGUGCUUGGUUACCUGAGCCACCGUGAAACUCAGCUGGAGCAGGUGAGCUGUGGCCCAGAGCUGGAAGAAACGCCAGCUGCUGUUGCACCAGCUCCUGGACGCUCUGAUGGACUGGAAGGACGUCACCCAACUCCUCACGCAGAAACUCACCAGCCAGGACUUUGACAAAUCUCUGAGGUACAUUGCUCAUGUGCAAAACUUUAAUAAAAAUACAAUUGAAUGUUGUCAUACUGACGGUGAAGCCACAUGAGAACACACCCAACAAUCAAACAAACCUACUGAUUCAUUAAUAAG